Molecule: ribosomal RNA, 902 nt
Filed under: Pseudoasteromassaria spadicea
Lineage: Eukaryota; Fungi; Ascomycota; Dothideomycetes; Pleosporales; Latoruaceae
Description: eukaryotic LSU rRNA
Rfam family: Eukaryotic large subunit ribosomal RNA
Source: RNAcentral
UAGCAUAUCAAUAAGCGGAGGAAAAGAAACCAACUGGGAUUGCCCUAGUAACGGCGAGUGAAGCGGCAAUAGCUCAAAUUUGAAAUCUGGCCCUCUUUUUGAGGGUCCGAGUUGUAAUUUGUAGAGGGUGCUUUGGCAUUGGUGGCGGUCUAAGUUCCUUGGAACAGGACAUCGCAGAGGGUGAGAAUCCCGUAUGUGGUCGCCUUCCAUUGCCGUGUAAAGCCCCUUCGACGAGUCGAGUUGUUUGGGAAUGCAGCUCUAAAUGGGAGGUAAAUUUCUUCUAAAGCUAAAUACCGGCCAGAGACCGAUAGCGCACAAGUAGAGUGAUCGAAAGAUGAAAAGCACUUUGGAAAGAGAGUCAAACAGCACGUGAAAUUGUUGAAAGGGAAGCGCUUGCAGCCAGACUUGCCCGUAGUUGCUCAUCCAGGCUCUUGCCUGGAGCAUUCGACUGCGGGCAGGCCAGCAUCAGUUUGGGCGGCCGGAUACAGACCUCUGUCACGUAUCUUCCUUCGGGAUGACCUUAUAGGGGAGGUGUAACACGGCCAGUCUGGACUGAGGUCCGCGCAUCUGCUAGGAUGCUGGCGUAAUGGCUGUAAGCGGCCCGUCUUGAAACACGGACCAAGGAGUCUAACAUCUAUGCGAGUGUUUGGGUGUCAAGCCCGGGCGCGCAAUGAAAGUGAACGGAGGUGGGAACCCUUUUGGGGUGCACCAUCGACCGAUCCUGAUGUCUUCGGAUGGAUUUGAGUAAGAGCAUAGCUGUUGGGACCCGAAAGAUGGUGAACUAUGCUUGAAUAGGGUGAAGCCAGAGGAAACUCUGGUGGAGGCUCGCAGCGGUUCUGACGUGCAAAUCGAUCGUCAAAUUUGGGCAUAGGGGCGAAAGACUAAUCGAACUAUCUAGUAGC